RNAcentral lists this ribosomal RNA (433 nucleotides) under uncultured bacterium. RNAcentral describes it as "partial 16S ribosomal RNA". It matches the Rfam family "Bacterial small subunit ribosomal RNA", at positions 29 to 507 of the family's 1533-position model. The record is from RNAcentral.
AGCGAACGCUGGCGGCAGGCCUAACACAUGCAAGUCGAACGAACUCUUCGGAGUUAGUGGCGGACGGGUGAGUAACACGUGGGAACGUGCCUUUUGGUUCGGAAUAACUCAGGGAAACUUGUGCUAAUACCGAAUGUGCCCUUCGGGGGAAAGAUUUAUCGCCAUUAGAGCGGCCCGCGUCUGAUUAGCUAGUUGGUGAGGUAACGGCUCACCAAGGCGACGAUCAGUAGCUGGUCUGAGAGGAUGACCAGCCACACUGGGACUGAGACACGGCACAGACUCCUACGGGAGGCAGCAGUGGGGAAUCUUGCGCAAUGGGCGAAAGCCUGACGCAGCCAUGCCGCGUGAAUGAUGAAGGUCUUAGGAUUGUAAAAUUCUUUCACCGGGGACGAUAAUGACGGUACCCGGAGAAGAAGCCCCGGCUAACUUCGUG